UACGGAGGGUGCAAGCGUUGCUCGGAAUUACUGGGCGUAAAGAGCUCGUAGGUGGUUUGUCGCGUUGUUCGUGAAAUUCCCUGGCUUAACUGGGGGCGUGCGGGCGAUACGGGCAGACUGGAGUACUGCAGGGGAGACUGGAAUUCCUGGUGUAGCGGUGGAAUGCGCAGAUAUCAGGAGGAACACCGGUGGCGAAGGCGGGUCUCUGGGCAGUAACUGACGCUGAGGAGCGAAAGCGUGGGGAGCGAACAGG
This 253-nucleotide ribosomal RNA is filed under the name uncultured bacterium. RNAcentral's name for it is "partial 16S ribosomal RNA". It matches the Rfam family "Bacterial small subunit ribosomal RNA", at positions 524 to 776 of the family's 1533-position model. The record is from RNAcentral.